Molecule: long non-coding RNA, 612 nt
Filed under: Androctonus crassicauda
Lineage: Eukaryota; Metazoa; Arthropoda; Arachnida; Scorpiones; Buthidae
Source: RNAcentral
UUACUAAACUCGGACUACUCUAAAGUUAUGUGAUAGAAGUUAUUUAUUCCCUGUAAUUACGUAAAAUGAAUUCUUCAAAAAAAUUAUCAGUUUAUCACAGUUUAACGGAUAUCAAAAUUUCAGUUUAUUUGAUUAAUAUUAUAGGUGAAACGAAUUUAGUUACAGUAUCUGUACCGCUCCAAGACGCAUUUAAUUUCACUUAUUUACUAACUGAUAAAGUAAUAACAAUGAGCUACCACACUCGGAAUUUAACGUCGGUAUGUAACGAUCAAAUAAAUUCCUAAAAUAAUUUUCUCUGUUUAAAAUCACGGACGAAAACGGCGGAUAAUUUUAAAUAUCAAAAGGACGCGAUCAAAAAAUUUCUGACGUUAAAUCCUGUGAUUAAAUCUUGACUGGGAGCGAUAACCCACCGUUUUUGUGAUAAAAAAAAGAGUAUAAUAUCCUCUAUAGGUCAGAGUAUAAUACUCUGGUUAGUCUCUGUCAUCGAGUAAGUGGUAUGAUUUUCCCCAAAACUGGAACUAGCCAUAUCGAUGGUCGAGCUGAAUUUACUUGAUAGCGCUAUUGCUUAGCAUGUUUUGUUUUUUUAUAGUAAUUAUAUAAUAAUAAAUGUGU